AUUGAACGCUGGCGGCAUGCUUUACACAUGCAAGUCGAACGGUAACAGGCCUUCGGGUGCUGACGAGUGGCGAACGGGUGAGUAAUGCUUCGGAACGUACCCAGAGGUGGGGGAUAACGCAGCGAAAGCUGUGCUAAUACCGCAUGUGAUCUGAGGAUGAAAGCGGGGGACCGAGCAGCAAUGUUUGGCCUCGCGCCUUUGGAGCGGCCGAUGUCGGAUUAGCUAGUUGGUGGGGUAAAGGCCUACCAAGGCGACGAUCCGUAGCUGGUCUGAGAGGACGACCAGCCACACUGGGACUGAGACACGGCCCAGACUCCGACGGGAGGCAGCAGUGGGGAAUUUUGGACAAUGGGCGCAAGCCUGAUCCAGCAAUGCCGCGUGCGGGAAGAAGGCCUUCGGGUUGUAAACCGCUUUUGGCAGGAACGAAACGGUGUCCGCUAAUACCGGGCGCUAAUGACGGUACCUGCAGAAUAAGCACCGGCUAACUACGUG
This 492-nucleotide ribosomal RNA is filed under the name uncultured bacterium. Its description in RNAcentral is "partial 16S ribosomal RNA". It matches the Rfam family "Bacterial small subunit ribosomal RNA", at positions 29 to 507 of the family's 1533-position model. The record is from RNAcentral.